AUUGAACGCUGGCGGCAUGCCUUACACAUGCAAGUCGAACGGUAACAGGUCUUCGGAUGCUGACGAGUGGCGAACGGGUGAGUAAUACAUUGGAACGUGCCCGAUCGUGGGGGAUAACGAAGCGAAAGCUUUGCUAAUACCGCAUACGAUCUACGGAUGAAAGCAGGGGACCGCAAGGCCUUGCGCUAACGGAGCGGCCGAUGGCAGAUUAGGUAGUUGGUGGGAUAAAAGCUUACCAAGCCGACGAUCUGUAGCUGGGCUGAGAGGACGACCAGCCACACUGGGACUGAGACACGGCCCAGACUCCUACGGGAGGCAGCAGUGGGGAAUUUUGGACAAUGGGCGAAAGCCUGAUCCAGCCAUGUCGCGUGCAGGAUGAAGGCCUUCGGGUUGUAAACUGCUUUUGUACGGAACGAAAAGACUCUGGUUAAUACCUGGGGUCCAUGACGGUACCGUAAGAAUAAGCACCGGCUAACUACGUGCCAGCCGCCGCGGUAA
Molecule: ribosomal RNA, 498 nt
Filed under: uncultured bacterium
Lineage: Bacteria
Description: partial 16S ribosomal RNA
Rfam family: Bacterial small subunit ribosomal RNA
Source: RNAcentral